This 483-nucleotide ribosomal RNA is filed under the name uncultured bacterium. RNAcentral's name for it is "partial 16S ribosomal RNA". It matches the Rfam family "Bacterial small subunit ribosomal RNA", at positions 28 to 523 of the family's 1533-position model. The record is from RNAcentral.
GACGAACGCUGGCGGCGUGCUUAACACAUGCAAGUCGAACGAUGAAGCCGGAGCUUGCUCCGGUGGAUUAGUGGCGAAAGGGUGAGUAACACGUGAGCAAUCUGCCCUUGACUCUGGGAUAACUGCGGGAAACUGUAGCUAAUACCGGAUACGACACCUUGGGGCAUCGCAGGGUGUGGAAAGAAUUUCGGUCAAGGAUGAGCUCGCGGGCUAUCAGCUAGUUGGUGAGGUAGUGGCUCACCAAGGCGACGACGGGUAGCUGGCCUGAGAGGGUGACCGGCCACACGGGAACUGGGACACGGGCCAGGCUCCGACGGGAUGCAGCAGUGGGGAAUAUUGCACAAUGGGCGAAAGCCUGAUGCAGCGACGCCUCGUGAGGGAUGAAGGCCUUCGGGUUGUAAACCUCUAUUAGCAGGGAAGAAGCGAAAGUGACGGUACCUGCAGAAAAAGCACCGGCUAACUACGUGCCAGCAGCCGCGGUAA